GAUGAACGCUAGCUACAGGCUUAACACAUGCAAGUCGAGGGGAAACGACAUCGAAAGCUUGCUUUUGAUGGGCGUCGACCGGCGCACGGGUGAGUAACGCGUAUCCAACCUGCCCAUCACUUGGGGAUAACCUUGCGAAAGUAAGACUAAUACCCAAUGAUAUCUCUAGAAGACAUCUGAAAGAGAUUAAAGAUUUAUCGGUGAUGGAUGGGGAUGCGUCUGAUUAGCUUGUUGGCGGGGUAACGGCCCACCAAGGCAACGAUCAGUAGGGGUUCUGAGAGGAAGGUCCCCCACAUUGGAACUGAGACACGGUCCAAACUCCUACGGGAGGCAGCAGUGAGGAAUAUUGGUCAAUGGGCGAGAGCCUGAACCAGCCAAGUAGCGUGCAGGAAGACGGCCCUAUGGGUUGUAAACUGCUUUUAUAAGGGAAUAAAGUGAGAGUCGUGACUCUUUUUGUAUGUACCUGAUGAAUAAGGACCGGCUAAUUCCGUG
Molecule: ribosomal RNA, 492 nt
Filed under: uncultured bacterium
Lineage: Bacteria
Description: partial 16S ribosomal RNA
Rfam family: Bacterial small subunit ribosomal RNA
Source: RNAcentral